UACGUAGGGUGCGAGCGUUACUCGGAAUUACUGGGCGUAAAGCGUGCGCAGGCGGCUCUGCAAGACAGUUGUGAAAUCCCCGGGCUCAACCUGGGAACUGCAUUUGUGACUGCAAGGCUGGAGUACGGUAGAGGGGGAUGGAAUUCCGCGUGUAGCAGUGAAAUGCGUAGAUAUGCGGAGGAACACCGAUGGCGAAGGCAAUCCCCUGGACCUGUACUGACGCUCAUGCACGAAAGCGUGGGGAGCAAACAGG
Molecule: ribosomal RNA, 253 nt
Filed under: uncultured bacterium
Lineage: Bacteria
Description: partial 16S ribosomal RNA
Rfam family: Bacterial small subunit ribosomal RNA
Source: RNAcentral